UACGAAGGGGGCUAGCGUUGUUCGGAUUUACUGGGCGUAAAGGGCGCGCAGGCGGCUUUGUUUGUCAGGCGUGAAAGCCCCGGGCUUAACCUGGGAACUGCGCUUGAGACGGCGAGGCUAGAGAUCGGGAGAGGAGAGUGGAAUUCCCAGUGUAGAGGUGAAAUUCGUAGAUAUUGGGAAGAACACCGGUGGCGAAGGCGGCUCUCUGGACCGACACUGACGCUGAGGCGCGAAAGCGUGGGGAGCAAACAGG
RNAcentral lists this ribosomal RNA (253 nucleotides) under uncultured bacterium. RNAcentral describes it as "partial 16S ribosomal RNA". It matches the Rfam family "Bacterial small subunit ribosomal RNA", at positions 524 to 776 of the family's 1533-position model. The record is from RNAcentral.